UACGGAGGGUGCGAGCGUUGUCCGGAAUCACUGGGCGUAAAGGGCGCGUAGGCGGCGCGGGAAGUCAUCGGUGAAAGCUCAGGGCUCAACUCUGAGUCGGCCGGUGAUACUCUCGUGCUUGAGCACUGUAGAGGCAGGUGGAAUUCCGGGUGUAGCGGUGGAAUGCGUAGAGAUCCGGAAGAACACCGGUGGCGAAGGCGGCCUGCUGGGCAGGAGCUGACGCUGAUGCGCGACAGCGUGGGGAGCAAACAGG
This 253-nucleotide ribosomal RNA is filed under the name uncultured bacterium. RNAcentral describes it as "partial 16S ribosomal RNA". It matches the Rfam family "Bacterial small subunit ribosomal RNA", at positions 524 to 776 of the family's 1533-position model. The record is from RNAcentral.